AAUGAACGCUGGCGGCAUGCCUAACACAUGCAAGUCGAACGAAGCCUUCGGGCUUAGUGGCGCACGGGUGCGUAACGCGUGGGAAUCUGCCCUUGGGUUCGGAAUAACAGUGGGAAACUACUGCUAAUACCGAAUGAUGUCGCAAGACCAAAGAUUUAUCGCCCAGGGAUGAGCCCGCGUAGGAUUAGCUAGUUGGUGUGGUAAAAGCGCACCGAGGCGACGACCUUAGCUGGUCUGAGAGGAUGAUCAGCCACACUGGGACUGAGACACGGCCCAGACUCCUACGGGAGGCAGCAGUGGGGAAUAUUGGACAAUGGGCGAAAGCCUGAUCCAGCAAUGCCGCGUGAGUGAUGAAGGCCUUAGGGUUGUAAAGCUCUUUUACCCGGGAUGAUAAUGACAGUACCGGGAGAAUAAGCUCCGGCUAACUCCGUGCCAGCCGCCGCCGUAAU
Molecule: ribosomal RNA, 449 nt
Filed under: uncultured bacterium
Lineage: Bacteria
Description: bacterial SSU rRNA
Rfam family: Bacterial small subunit ribosomal RNA
Source: RNAcentral